AGAGAGCUCCUCAUUCUGGAGAGUUGGAAAUCUCUUUACUAGCCUGUGACUGGUGAAGAAAAUGUCCUCCACUUUAUUGAAAGUAUGGCCCCACUCAGCUCUCCAGACCAGUACUAUCCUCUCUUAAUUCCCCAAUAGAUUAGUGUGGUUUGUUUCAGGAUUUUUGUUGUCUAGUUGGGGUUUUUUGUUCUUGUUUGCUUGUAAUUCUCGAGGUUAUUUCCAAAUACCCCCAUCUUCUGCUUACCUUCAUUCUUUAAAACCCCAGGAUGCAGGUCCCAUAAGUAGUUUUCUUACAGGCUAAGUAUAGGUCUGAAAUUCCACCAGUUAGCCUCUUCACAUAUCUAGUGACUUCUACUUCUGUUUUACUAUGAAUUAAAAAACUAAAAUUCACUCAAAAUCCAGAGAAAAUUGUGUGAGGAGACUCCAGGUCACAGUAGACGUGUGCUAUUUUUUGUUUACUUCAAAGCCAACCCAUUUCAAUCUGAAUUGCUCAUGACCUAAUGUAAGCUUUAAGACUUCUUGGAUCUGAAACAUCAAAAAGAGAGAAACUGUUGUUGAUGCUAUCUUGUAACCUCCUAGUCAUCUUAGCCCUUAACUGUCCACCCAUCUACCCUUUAUGUCCAGCCAUACCCUUUAUUUUUCUUAGCCUCCCUGCAGCUACCUGCCUUUUGUCGUUAGCACCUUCACCAAUAGGAAAGUACAGAAAUCAAGUUUGUUAGGUCACCACCACCACCCCCAGCACACAAAAAAUGUUUAAUGACAAAGGAGACUAAAACAAAUGACAUUCAGGGAUUCUCAGUCUUGGCUGUUCAUCAAAAUCACUUGGGAUCUUGAAAACAUCAGAGUAGAGAUGCCCCUUUAGACCCACCAUUGAACAAUUAAAUAGUAUCUCUCUAAGGAUUGGGCCAGGCUUUUUUUUUUUUUUUUUUUUUUUUAACCUUCCCCACAGGAUUCUAAGUUCAGAUAGAGUUAACAACCACUAGUCCAUAUCUCUCUCUGAGCACUGUGUGAGUGUCUGUUACAAUGUUUUCUCUGUUCCCAUCCAUGGAACUGGGAUAAGUUGGCCAUAGGUGUUUUGUUUGCCUCCUAUUUCAAAUUUUAUCAGUAAAUGCUACUAAAGCUGAUAAUAUACUCUACCUUGUCCCCACCAAUUCCAUCCUUUAUAUCUGUGAGGUAGAAAUCCUCUCCAUUAAUAUGAGAUAGCUGUAUUCCAACAAAAGUGACCCGAAGCUGGAACUCCCCAUCUUGACCCCAAUUUUCCCAUUAUUGGUUUUAAUUUAAAAUAAAAGGUAGAUGGUUUCUGGUUUGGUAACCCACCCCUGCCAAAAAAAAAAAAAAAAACGGUUCUUGACUUUUGUAGACUUAAUACUCAGCACUGCAGUCUUAUUACUUGAACUUUUACUAAAAAAUUUAUCAGAUGCCAAAUUGCAUCAUGUGCACCUGUUCUUCAACAGCAAAAUGCACCGAAAGCUCUCCAGUUCCCUCCCCGCUACCUGGCAGGCAUUUGUGCGUGCAUGCGGACGGGCGCACGCGCACACACACACACACACACACACACACACACACAACUGUUCUUCCUAGAGACUUCAGUUUGUGAGAUUUUAGAAUGAAUUGCCUGGGUGCUAUUUCUUUGGCCUAUGAGUAAAUUGCAAUAAGCUACCAGAUUAACGCCAAUCAGUUUCCUUGUCUGUAAAAUUAUGGUUUUGGCUAGAUGGCCUAUGAGGAACUCUCUAGCUCUGACAUCUUAUGAUUAUUAUCUGAUAUCACUGAAAAAUGUGCCUUUAGGUCAUAUUCAAAAAUCAGCUUGAGGCUUUUGUCACAAUAUUUAGGAAUAAUUCUUCCUCUUCACAAUCUCUCAUCUCACAAUACUUU
This 1872-nucleotide long non-coding RNA is filed under the name Phocoena sinus (vaquita). RNAcentral's name for it is "lncRNA (ENSPSNG00000000339.1)". Lineage: Eukaryota; Metazoa; Chordata; Mammalia; Artiodactyla; Phocoenidae. The record is from RNAcentral.